CACGUAGGGGGCGAGCGUUGUCCGGAUUUAUUGGGCGUAAAGAGCUCGUAGGCGGCUAAGUAAGUCAGGUGUGAAAACUCCAGGCUCAACCUGGAGACGCCACCUGAUACUGCUUUGGCUAGAGUCCGGUAGGGGAGCAUGGAAUUCCUGGUGUAGCGGUGAAAUGCGCAGAUAUCAGGAGGAACACCAGUGGCGAAGGCGGUGCUCUGGGCCGGAACUGACGCUGAGGAGCGAAAGCGUGGGGAGCAAACAGG
Molecule: ribosomal RNA, 254 nt
Filed under: uncultured bacterium
Lineage: Bacteria
Description: partial 16S ribosomal RNA
Rfam family: Bacterial small subunit ribosomal RNA
Source: RNAcentral